RNAcentral lists this unclassified non-coding RNA (316 nucleotides) under Hevea brasiliensis (rubber tree). The record is from RNAcentral. Lineage: Eukaryota; Viridiplantae; Streptophyta; Magnoliopsida; Malpighiales; Euphorbiaceae.
GCCUGCAUUGCUCAUCGCUUCAUAGACCUGACCAGCCAUAGUUGUCCCAUUGCUGAUGACUGUAACAACACGCUCCCGUUUCCCUUUCAUAUCACGUGCAACUGCCAUCCCAAGCCCAGCAGAAAUACUAUUGCAUCCAUGCCCUGCCCCAAAUGGAUCAUAUUCGCUCUCAGACCGAGAUGUAAAGCCAGAAAGACCAUUCUUUUGUUUCAGUGUAUGCAUAAGGGACCGUCUUCCUGUGAGAAUUUUAUGCGCAUAUGUCUGUUCCCCAACAUCCCAUAGUAUCUUGUCCACUGGUGCAUGAAAAACAUGAUGA